RNAcentral lists this ribosomal RNA (459 nucleotides) under uncultured bacterium. RNAcentral describes it as "bacterial SSU rRNA". It matches the Rfam family "Bacterial small subunit ribosomal RNA", at positions 327 to 805 of the family's 1533-position model. The record is from RNAcentral.
ACGACUACACUCCUACGGGAGGCAGCAGUGGGGAAUUUUGGACAAUGGGGGCAACCCUGAUCCAGCCAUGCCGCGUGAGUGAUGAAGGCCUUAGGGUUGUAAAGCUCUUUUAUCCGGGACGAUAAUGACGGUACCGGAGGAAUAAGCCCCGGCUAACUUCGUGCCAGCAGCCGCGGUAAUACGAAGGGGCUAGCGUUGCUCGGAAUCACUGGGCGUAAAGGGCGCGUAGGCGGCGUUUUAAGUCGGGGGUGAAAGCCUGUGGCUCAACCACAGAGUGGCCUUCGAUACUGGGACGCUUGAGUAUGGUAGAGGUUGGUGGAGCUGCGAGUGUAGAGGUGAAAUUCGUAGAUAUUCGCAAGAACACCGGUGGCGAAGGCGGCCAACUGGACCAUUACUGACGCUGAGGCACGAAAGCGUGGGGAGCAAACAGGAUUAGAAACCCUGGUAGUCCACCAAUCC